UACGUAGGGAGCGAGCGUUGUCAGGAAUUACUGGGUGUAAAGGGAGCGUAGGCGGGACUGCAAGUUGGGUGUCAAAUCUACCGGCUCAACCGGUAGCCGCACUCAAAACUGCAGUUCUUGAGUGAAGUAGAGGCAGGCGGAAUUCCUAGUGUAGCGGUGAAAUGCGUAGAUAUUAGGAGGAACACCAGUGGCGAAGGCGGCCUGCUGGGCUUUUACUGACGCUGAGGCUCGAAAGUGUGGGGAGCAAACAGG
This 252-nucleotide ribosomal RNA is filed under the name uncultured bacterium. RNAcentral's name for it is "partial 16S ribosomal RNA". It matches the Rfam family "Bacterial small subunit ribosomal RNA", at positions 524 to 776 of the family's 1533-position model. The record is from RNAcentral.